UGGCGGACGGGUGAGUAACGCGUGGGGAACCUGCCUUGCACCCGGGGAUAACACUUAGAAAUAGGUGCUAAUACCGCAUAAGCGCACAGAGCCGCAUGGCUCGGUGUGAAAAACUCCGGUGGUGCAAGAUGGACCCGCGUCUGAUUAGCUGGUUGGCGGGGUAACGGCCCACCAAGGCGACGAUCAGUAGCCGGCCUGAGAGGGUGAACGGCCACAUUGGGACUGAGACACGGCCCAAGCUCCUACGGAAGGCAGCAG
RNAcentral lists this ribosomal RNA (258 nucleotides) under uncultured bacterium. RNAcentral's name for it is "partial 16S ribosomal RNA". It matches the Rfam family "Bacterial small subunit ribosomal RNA", at positions 96 to 354 of the family's 1533-position model. The record is from RNAcentral.